Molecule: non-coding RNA, 2487 nt
Organism: Doryrhamphus excisus (bluestripe pipefish)
Lineage: Eukaryota; Metazoa; Chordata; Actinopteri; Syngnathiformes; Syngnathidae
Source: RefSeq, a predicted model, not a curated record
CUCGCCGUGACUUGCAUGUUGAAAGUUUAAAAAAGAAAGACGGCCUGGUUUAUUAGUUUAGUCUAGUCUCUAUGAUUGCGUCCAUCGUGUUUUUGUUCUUUAUUAUGUCCACAUUUUGGUCACGUAAAAGAGUUCUAUUCAACACGUCGUGCGGGAUCAGUUCUUCACUAGCUAGCUUAGCCUGUUUCAGCGGAAGUUAGCAACACACACGGCGCAUGCGCCAGUCGCCCUGGUGCUGGAGGGAAUGUUGCAACGAAACGACUGAAAAUUCUUGUCGAGUUUGUUCUCUUGUCGCUGCGUAUAUUUCGAAAGGAUCGUUACUGUGAACGGCUAGCUUAGCUCGCUAGCUGCUAACAAAGACCCGGAAGUGAUCAACAAAUCGCUAAACGGAGAUCGAGUAUGAGUGUAAAGUGUCGCGAUCGUGUGAAAAUGUGUCCAAAUGUCCAAAUGCUGAGAGCGUUGGUGAACCAGCGACUAGCUUUGGCUGUGGAAGAAAUAUUUGUAGUGUUGGAAAGAACCAUAGCAGAGUACGAGGAGGAACUUUGUCGAACAAAAGAGGAGAACGAGCGACAACGUCAACUACUGGACGCUGUUUCCAAGAGGUACCAAGUUGGGUUGCACGGAGCAGAUAUCAGUGAAGAACAUCUCCCCCCUGAGCAGCAGGAGUGGAGCUCCAGGGUGGAAGAACAUCAGCCCCGGCCCCCCCACAUCAAAGAGGAAGAGGAGGACCACAGCAUCAGCCAGGAGGGAGAGCAUCUUGAAGGACCGGAGGAGUUCCCAGUGAUUGGCGUCCCUGUGAAGAGUGAAGAUGAUGAAGACGAUGAAGGUGAAAGUGAAAGUGAGGAGAAGAGAGAGGCGGAGCCUCCGAGCAGCAGCUCAACUCAACACAUGACAACAGAAGCCGAUGGAGACCACUGUGGAGGAUCACCAGCAGACAAGCUCUUAGCUCCACUAUCAGAUAGCGAGCACACGACGUCACACUCUCCUGACACUGAUGAUGAUGAUGAAGACUCUACAGCUGAUAUGACAUGUCACCCUGACAACACACGCUUGAAAUGCCAACACUGCGACAAGACCUUCAAGUACCGUAGUCAUUUAAAAAUGCACAUGAGAAGUCACACAGGAGAGAAACCAUUCAAGUGCUCAGUUUGUGGUAAAAGAUACUCUCGGAAGCUAAGUUUGACAGAGCAUAGUAGAAUACAUACUGGGGAGAAACCUUUUUCCUGUUCAGUAUGCGGCACCGGAUUUAGAAUCAAUCAGGAUUUGCAAAUCCACGUGAGAACGCACACCGGAGAGAAUCCCUUUUCCUGUUCCAUCUGUGGAAAAGGAUUCUCUCGGAAGUCCAAUUUGACCGCACAUACAAAAGUUCACACUGAAGAGAAAAGCUUCAUCUGUUCCGUGUGCGGUAAAGGUUUUUCCCAGAAUCAGUAUUUGAAAAUCCACAUGAAAAGACACGCUCCGGAAAAACCAUACUGCUGUUCCGUGUGUGGUAAAGGUUAUGCAAAAAAAGAUGAUUCGGAAAUUCACGUACGGACGCACGACAGCAUGAAGAUGUUUGGGUGCAGCGUUUGUGAGCAAAGAUUCUCUUAUCAGUUCCAGCUUCUCAACCACAAGUGUGCUGGGGAGAACGGCGACAGGAAGUGAAGCCGCACCGCCUGACAUCAGCUCUGGGACUUGGAUAACUUUCUAACAUCACGUGUGACGUUGUUGUGACGUUGUUGUGACGUUGUUGUGACGUUGUUGUGACGUUGUUGUGUGCUAGCUUGCUAAUGUGCUUCCACCAUUAAAAUGCUACGUGGUGACAUCUAGGAAUGGAAUACUGUAGGCUCCUUUCCUGUGCCGUCAGACUACUUCCUCUUUUCUUUUUUCAGGACUUGCUUGUGGAGUACGAUGUACACAAACAAUUGGGGCGGGGGGGGGUCAAUAAUAUUUUAUUUCUGUGGCGUUGACCAGGAUGAGAGCAGCUGGUGGGACCUCUUUGGACGAUCGUGAUCAUCUGCUGCGAUGCUUCUGGCCCGACCGCUGCUUCAUCCGGUAUCGUUGUCUCCUGUGGAGUGUGCCGUCACCGGGAUCCUUUUGGUGGGCACAGGCGGGGAGAGCUGGGACUCCCAAAGUCUCAAAUAGGUCUCAUAUGAUGCAAUAAAAAGUCUUGGACCAUGGAUCAGAAGAAGAAACAGAAAGAAGUGGGAGUGGCUAAUGACUCGGGCUGUCACGAAACACUCACUUGAGGAGACGAGACGUACAAUGCAACCAUGUGACUUUAUUUAACAAUGCAGGUACAUUUUGAAAUGUUUUUGUCCAACAAAUUGACAAGAUAAACUCUUAAUGUUAUGAUACGAUGUUGCACGUCACACGUGACGUUGUACAGCUUCACUUCCUGCCGCUGUUCUCCCCAGCACACGUGUGGUUGCUAAGCUGGUACUUGUAAGAGAAUCGUUCAUCACACACGCUGCAACUCAGCACUUUCUCUCCCGUGUGUCUCCUCGU